UACGAAGGGAGCUAGCGUUGUUCGGAAUCACUGGGCGUAAAGCGCACGUAGGCGGACGUGUCAGUCAGGGGUGAAAUCCCGAGGCUCAACCUCGGAACUGCCUUUGAUACUGGCUUUCUUGAGUUCGGGAGAGGUGAGUGGAACUCCUAGUGUAGAGGUGAAAUUCGUAGAUAUUAGGAAGAACACCAGUGGCGAAGGCGGCUCACUGGCCCGAAACUGACGCUGAUGUACGAAAGCGUGGGGAGCAAACAGG
RNAcentral lists this ribosomal RNA (253 nucleotides) under uncultured bacterium. RNAcentral describes it as "partial 16S ribosomal RNA". It matches the Rfam family "Bacterial small subunit ribosomal RNA", at positions 524 to 776 of the family's 1533-position model. The record is from RNAcentral.